AUCCCUUGGACUUGUUUGUUCCCUUUCUGCUGGAAGUGAAAGGGCCCUGUUCCCCAUACUUCUCCACCUUGACACUUUACUGGGACUGUCAACUGCUGCUUCUUUUGGUGUGUAAACUGAUUUUUGGUACUUUUUCCGGCUUAAGUAUAUCAAUAGCCUGUCGAUCAGUUUGUCCUCUUCAUCCUGAGUUUCCUUAUCGUCUGCAGUUGUGACUUUUAGGCUUCGUAAAUUUCA
RNAcentral lists this unclassified non-coding RNA (234 nucleotides) under Hevea brasiliensis (rubber tree). Lineage: Eukaryota; Viridiplantae; Streptophyta; Magnoliopsida; Malpighiales; Euphorbiaceae. The record is from RNAcentral.